CUCUUCUGGAGAUCACUGCUCUUGGUGUCUUCUGGUGACCUCAGUCAAAGGCUCUUACGCAGAAACAUUUUGACUGAAGAGCUGUGGGAAGCAAAUAGAUUUCAUCAAACAGAACAAAAGAAGAGGAAAACAAUUAUAACAAAGGUGACUACUGCCAGUGAUCUGAAGUCUUCAAGUCAAGCAUCUUAUUCUGCUGCAGUGUUGUACUCAGGGAAGCAGCAAAACUUUCAGAAAAAGCAUUGACAGUUUUAGGACUUGAUCAUGUAAUAACAAACUUAGCUCAUAUUGGAUGUCUUUCAAGUUUCUCAAAGCUUGUUCUCUUUCGUUAAUAUUACGUGUUUUAUGUUACGUACAGUAUGUACCAAUCUUCAAAAAUAGAUUUUACAGAAAAGAAAUGCUCACCAAUAAACUUCUAUAUUAA
Lagopus muta (rock ptarmigan) is the source of this 421-nucleotide long non-coding RNA. RefSeq lists it as uncharacterized. The record is from RefSeq and is a predicted model, not a curated record. The transcript has 3 exons. NCBI's taxonomy places the organism in Eukaryota, Metazoa, Chordata, Aves, Galliformes, Phasianidae.